GGUGCGGUAGUUCAGCUGGUUAGAAUGCCGCCCUGUCACGGCGGAGGUCGAGGGUUCGAGUCCCUUCCGCACCGCCA
RNAcentral lists this transfer RNA (77 nucleotides) under Candidatus Egerieousia equi. RNAcentral describes it as "tRNA-Asp". It matches the Rfam family "tRNA". From Rfam's summary of the family: Transfer RNA (tRNA) molecules are approximately 80 nucleotides in length. Lineage: Bacteria; Pseudomonadati; Bacteroidota; Bacteroidia; Bacteroidales. The record is from RNAcentral.